RNAcentral lists this ribosomal RNA (264 nucleotides) under uncultured bacterium. RNAcentral describes it as "partial 16S ribosomal RNA". It matches the Rfam family "Bacterial small subunit ribosomal RNA", at positions 793 to 1055 of the family's 1533-position model. The record is from RNAcentral.
GUCCACGCCCUAAACGAUGUCGACUAGUUGUCGGAGGCUUGCGCCUUCGGUAACGCAGCUAACGCGUGAAGUCGACCGCCUGGGGAGUACGGUCGCAAGAUUAAAACUCAAAGGAAUUGACGGGGACCCGCACAAGCGGUGGAUGAUGUGGAUUAAUUCGAUGCAACGCGAAAAACCUUACCUACCCUUGACAUGCCAGGAACUUGCCAGAGAUGGCUCGGUGCUCGAAAGAGAACCUGGACACAGGUGCUGCAUGGCUGUCGU